RNAcentral lists this ribosomal RNA (2868 nucleotides) under Triticum aestivum (bread wheat). RNAcentral describes it as "partial small subunit ribosomal RNA". The record is from RNAcentral. Lineage: Eukaryota; Viridiplantae; Streptophyta; Magnoliopsida; Poales; Poaceae.
AUGGUCGGAGAGGAUUUGAACAAUGGUGUUGAUGAUUGCAUGGAUAUCUCAGGUAGAUUGCAUUGUGGCGUCAAUAAUCCCCCAAACGAGUUUGCCUCAAAUCAUGCUAUCAACCUCAGUCUUUUUGGCGGUGCGGCAAAUUUCAACAAGUGGAUGGAUGUGAAUGUGAGCCCAUCUUGCCCUCCUCGGACCAGGAGUAAAGUCAAAAAUCUCAUUGGUGAGUUUGCGUCUGGCAUGACCAACAUUCUUGGGAAACUAGUUCAGGGUUGGACAGGCUUGUCUAAGGGUGAAAGUGAUGAGGUUGGCCGGCAUUUCCGUAAUGUUGCUGCAGUUGGUGCGUCAAUGUCGAUUGGUGCCAGUGGCCGAUUCGAGUACAAUAGCUCACAGGAGACUGGCGACACCCAGAAGAAUCUAUUUGAUGGCGACUUUGACUCGGGGCACGGUGAGGAUCAUGAUGAGACUGCUGAGGCUGGUGCUGACAUAGAUGUAGAUGUGGACAAGCCAAGUGAGGAAGAUGGCGGUGGGCAGGACGGAACUGAAGUAGGCUUCGAUGGGCAAGCCACUGGAAUUGACAAGGUAGGAGAGAUGCAUGAGGCAAAGGUCAUUGGUGGUGCUGGUGGAAACGGAGGCGGCGUUGCUGCUCUUUCGAAGAGGGGCAUGGAGGGUGUUGGUGAUGGUGUUGAUGUCGUGGUUAAGAGAGCGAGGGUUGAUCCUGUUGCAGCCAGGAGGAGGCAGUAUAAGAAGACUGCGGGUUGGAAAAAGUGUCCACCCAAAGCCACAAUGAUCAAGAUAAAGUCCAGACCCGCAUCAUCGAUGGAAGUUGCAGCUGUAGCCCCUGCGCCAAAAUCCAAUGCGGCUACUGUCAAUACAGCUAUUGCGAGCAGUUCAGCUACGUCAGUCAGUUUCCUAUCCUCGCCGGCAGAUAUGCUUUCUACAAAUGAAGACAUCCAAGACGCUCCUAGGGAUGAUCUCAUAUCACCUAGGACCAAAGAGUUUGUUCCAACAAUAUUCUCUUUGAUAACCGGUGUUAGUGGUGUGUUAGACGGAAGCAUUGUCGGAGAUAAGGUCCAACCGAACGCUGAUGUUAUGGAGAAACAUUCUGACCAGAUUGAUCCUACUAUUGCUACUACCCCGGAGUUUGCGUCUUCUUGUCACAUUCAAUCCGAUGCACAUAUAGUGGAUCUACAUGCGACAAAAGGCAUUGUUAGUUCUGAAGCACAUGUCAGAGAUUCCACAAAUAUCUCGGACACGGUUGUGGUGGAUUCGAUGGUGCGAACGGUUGCCCCUGCUACAACCGAUAUUGGUGUGCUCCAUAAGUUGAGUCCCCCGAAGAAGGUUCCGGCACGGUCAGCUGAGAAGGAGGAUGGAUCGAUGUUCAUUCGUGUGUCUUCUCUAUUUCCAGCAACUGCUUCCAGCAAUACAGUCGAGCCGGUUCAAAGUAAGGAGAUUAGAGACGUUGUGGAGCAGCAGUGUGUCGCGCCCCAUGCAAGCAAGCUACCCAUUUCACCCAAGCCAAGGACCAUGACCCCGAACAUGAUUGGGGUGUCUCAUGCAGCUGCCAGGGAGCAACUUUCGAGGAGCAAAUUUGUGGAGGAAGUUAUCGAAGUUCCUGACAACAACCCACCUGAACUUGUCAAGGUGGCCACGUUAGAUUUGGCCAAAUCAUACUUGCAGAAGCAAGGCACACCGAGGGAGAGGCGCCCUAUGGAAUUCACCCCGCCGUCAUGCAGCCUUGGCAUAGAGAAGGCAAUCGAUGCAACACCUGUCUCCUCUGCGCACCCCCUGCUCGAAGAACCAAUGCUUGCACAACCAAUUAUGCAAGUGUCGAAAGUUGUCAAGUUUGCCAAGCCUAUAGUGCAAGCUUACACAAAGAUGGAGCAAGAUGCUCUGAAAAAUCAGUCCAUCAGGAAACAAGUUGAUUCAAGUUUGAAUCUUUCUACCCAGUCAAGUGCAGACGUUGUCAAAAGUGCUACCAGAGGGUUUGUUCGACAGGCAAGGGUUGUGCAUCGGCCAGAAUCGGUUGACUAUGAGCCUACAAUUAAGGCUACAAAGGAACAACAUCAUUUGUACGAGCUUUUGAAGCGGUAUGCGGAUGCUAGAUCAAACAACAGAGCUACAAAGAAGAUCAGAGAAACGAGGAUCAUAAAGUCCAGGGGCAAUCAUGUUCUUCUUGGUGAACUGGCUGAUGCCUUGAAGCCUACAGGGAAAAUGAUUGUGCCGCUCACCUUCACUGCCAUUGAGUAUCUAAACAAUCAUGGUGGCCUCCCGAAAGGCAAGAUUAUUAUGUCCCAUAGUGUUACCAGGAAAAUCAUGGCUGGUGACUUUCAAAAUAGGGAAAUCAAGAACUGUUUUGCGCAUAAGGGUGAAUUCAAUCUAUCAGUCAAGGAGUUGAUCAUGUUCCCUCUCUUCCAGGAACUUGCUCCAGAUAACCCAAUUGAUAAAGCCGGUCACUUCUACACUAUUUGCAUCAACAAUGAGAAGCAAAGGAUCGAGGUUCUUGACUCUAUGCGUUUAGAAUCGAGUGAGAGCUUACAAUCACAUGUGGGGGAGUUCAUAUGUAAGUUGAAGGAAUGUUGGUGUAUCCACUACAAGGAUUCAAAGGCGAAGAUUGAGAAUUAUCAUGUAAAAUAUAUUGAGACUAAGAAGCAAGAGGGCAUCCAUGAGUGUGGUUUCUACAUGCUCGAGUAUUUUGCAAAGUGGCAGGGUCACAUUGUGCCCACCAUUACGAAGGAGAGCAUUGCUGAGCUUAGGAAGGUGCUUGCGUGGGACUGGAUCACAAACACCAAUUUCAAUGAGCUCCAGACUUCGAAGCAGUUCCUGGAGGAUAGUGUGAAGGGUACCCUCAAUAAGUACAAGCGGAAGAUUUGA